CAAGUCGAACGCGAAAGUGGAGCAAUCCAUGAGUAGAGUGGCAAACGGGUGAGUAACACGUGGGUGACCUGCCUUUGAGUGGGGGAUAACGUCCCGAAAGGGUCGCUAAUACCGCAUAACAUACUGCCUUUGAAGAGGUGGACAUCAAAGCCUGGGACCGCAAGGCCAGGCGCUCGAAGAGGGGCCCGCGUCCGAUUAGCUAGUUGGUGGGGUAACGGCUCACCAAGGCAACGAUCGGUAGCCGGCCUGAGAGGGCGGACGGCCACACUGGGACUGAGACACGGCCCAGACUCCUACGGGAGGCAGCAGUGGGGAAUUGUUCGCAAUGGGCGCAAGCCUGACGACGCAACGCCGCGUGGAGGAUGAAGAUCUUCGGGUCGUAAACUCCUUUCGAUCGAGACGAACGGCCUCUGGGUUAACAGCCUGGAGGAGUGACGGUACCGAGAGAAGAAGCCCCGGCUAACUCCGUGCCAGCAGCCGCGGUAAUACGGGGGGGGCAAGCGUUGUUCGGAAUUACUGGGCGUAAAGGGCUCGUAGGUGGCCAACUAAGUCAGACGUGAAAUCCCUCGGCUUAACCGGGGAACUGCGUCUGAUACUGGAUGGCUUGAGGUUGGGAGAGGGAUGCGGAAUUCCAGGUGUAGCGGUGAAAUGCGUAGAUAUCUGGAGGAACACCGGUGGCGAAGGCGGCAUCCUGGACCAAUUCUGACACUGAGGAGCGAAAGCCAGGGGAGCAAACGGGAUUAGAUACCCCGGUAGUCCUGGCCCUAAACGAUGAAUGCUUGGUGUGGCGGG
RNAcentral lists this ribosomal RNA (792 nucleotides) under uncultured Bacillota bacterium. RNAcentral describes it as "bacterial SSU rRNA". It matches the Rfam family "Bacterial small subunit ribosomal RNA", at positions 58 to 829 of the family's 1533-position model. Lineage: Bacteria; Bacillati; Bacillota. The record is from RNAcentral.